RNAcentral lists this transfer RNA (76 nucleotides) under Candidatus Dormiibacterota bacterium. RNAcentral describes it as "tRNA-Trp". It matches the Rfam family "tRNA". Rfam says of the family: Transfer RNA (tRNA) molecules are approximately 80 nucleotides in length. Their secondary structure includes four short double-helical elements and three loops (D, anti-codon, and T loops). Further hydrogen bonds mediate the characteristic L-shaped molecular structure. tRNAs have two regions of fundamental functional importance: the anti-codon, which is responsible for specific mRNA codon recognition, and the 3' end, to which the tRNAs corresponding amino acid is attached (by aminoacyl-tRNA synthetases). tRNAs cope with the degeneracy of the genetic code in two manners: having more than one tRNA (with a specific anti-codon) for a particular amino acid; and 'wobble' base-pairing, i.e. permitting non-standard base-pairing at the 3rd anti-codon position. RNAcentral also lists the same sequence under 1 other name. The record is from RNAcentral. Lineage: Bacteria; Bacillati; Candidatus Dormiibacterota.
ACGGGCGUAGCUCAACUGGCAGAGCAUCGGUCUCCAAAACCGAGGGCUGAGGGUUCGAGUCCUUCCGCCCGUGCCA